RNAcentral lists this ribosomal RNA (503 nucleotides) under uncultured bacterium. RNAcentral's name for it is "partial 16S ribosomal RNA". It matches the Rfam family "Bacterial small subunit ribosomal RNA", at positions 30 to 523 of the family's 1533-position model. The record is from RNAcentral.
AUUGAACGCUGGCGGCAGGCUUAACACAUGCAAGUCGAGCGGGGUGAUGGUGCUUGCACUAUCACUUAGCGGCGGACGGGUGAGUAAUGCUUAGGAAUCUGCCUAUUAGUGGGGGACAACAUCUCGAAAGGGACGCUAAUACCGCAUACGUCCUACGGGAGAAAGCAGGGGAUCACUUGUGACCUUGCGCUAAUAGAUGAGACUAAGUCGGAUUAGCUAGUUGGUGGGGUAAAGGCCUACCAAGGCGACGAUCUGUAGGGGGUCUGAGAGGAUGAUCCGCCACACUGGGACUGAGACACGGCCCAGACUCCUACGGGAGGCAGCAGUGGGGAAUAUUGGACAAUGGGGGGAACCCUGAUCCAGCCAUGCCGCGUGUGUGAAGAAGGCCUUAUGGUUGUAAAGCACUUUAAGCGAGGAGGAGGCUCUUUUGGUUAAUACCCAAGAUGAGUGGACGUUACUCGCAGAAUAAGCACCGGCUAACUCUGUGCCAGCAGCCGCAGUAA